Molecule: non-coding RNA, 89 nt
Organism: Acanthosepion pharaonis
Lineage: Eukaryota; Metazoa; Mollusca; Cephalopoda; Sepiida; Sepiidae
Source: the annotation of a GenBank genome assembly
CAGUUCUCAUUUAAUCACCAAAGUUAAGCAGUGUUGACUCUGGUCAGUACUUGGAUGGGAGACCACUUGGGAACACUAGGUACUGUAAG